RNAcentral lists this ribosomal RNA (579 nucleotides) under Triticum aestivum (bread wheat). RNAcentral's name for it is "partial small subunit ribosomal RNA". The record is from RNAcentral. Lineage: Eukaryota; Viridiplantae; Streptophyta; Magnoliopsida; Poales; Poaceae.
AUGGAUAUCAGCUUUGAUUGGGUUUUUGGAGCUUUCCUAGAGGCUAUGAAUGGAAGGGCACCGGAUAACAUCAUUACUGAUCGGGAUGUGGAGAUGAAGGAGUCCAUAAAGAACAUAUUUCCCACAAGUGUGCACCGAUGUUGUCGGUGGCACAUCAUGAAGAAAACUCAAGAGAAAGUUGGAUGGUUGCUAGGCCGGAACCCGGGAUUGUCUGAAGAUUUCAACCUUUGCGUUGAUUUCAGUUUCACACCAGAUGAGUUUGAACAGAAUUGGGCUGCUUUGAUGAUGAAAUAUGAGGCAAUUACACACACCCAUUUCGAUAAACUUUACGAAUAUAGGAACACUUGGGUGCCAUGUUACUUCAAGGAUAGAUUUCCCCCCUUAUUGCAGUCUACACAACGAAGUGAGGGGUUCAAUGCAGUCUUGAAGCUGUAUGUAAACCCUCAUAAGUCAAUUCUGAACUUUGUGAGGCAGUACGAGAAAAUACAGACGCACAUCCUCGUCAAGGAAGGGUGCAAUGACUACAGUACAAAACAUCUGGAUCUUGACAUGUGGUCACAAUUCCCAAUAGAUAAGUAG